CAAUUAGUAUCUUAAAUAAAGAAUUGAUUUUUUAAAUCAAAUUAUAAUAAUUUAAAUUUAUUCUGAUUGA
RNAcentral lists this transfer RNA (70 nucleotides) under Euschistus heros (neotropical brown stinkbug). RNAcentral's name for it is "tRNA-Lys". Lineage: Eukaryota; Metazoa; Arthropoda; Insecta; Hemiptera; Pentatomidae. The record is from RNAcentral.